AGGACGAACGCUGGCGGCGUGCUUAACACAUGCAAGUGGAGCGACGAACCAGGGCUUGCCCUGGGGCAGAGCCGCGAACGGGUGAGUAACACGUGGGUUACCUACCCCGAUGACCGGGACAACCCGAGGAAACUCGGGCUAAUACCGGAUGUGGUCCUCGGACUAAAGGAAGCUUCGGCCUCCGCAUCGGGAUGGGCCCGCGGCGCAUUAGCUUGUUGGUGGGGUAACGGCCUACCAAGGCGACGACGGGUAG
This 253-nucleotide ribosomal RNA is filed under the name uncultured bacterium. RNAcentral describes it as "partial small subunit ribosomal RNA". It matches the Rfam family "Bacterial small subunit ribosomal RNA", at positions 26 to 286 of the family's 1533-position model. The record is from RNAcentral.